This 906-nucleotide ribosomal RNA is filed under the name Triticum aestivum (bread wheat). RNAcentral's name for it is "partial small subunit ribosomal RNA". The record is from RNAcentral. Lineage: Eukaryota; Viridiplantae; Streptophyta; Magnoliopsida; Poales; Poaceae.
AUGCCCAGAACACGUCCGCCGCCAAAUACCCACGCCGUCACCUCCGGUGACUACAAAUCGCAAAACACGAUCAGCCCCUUGUCGUUCGGAGUAUUCAACCCGCAGUCCGAACAGAUUUGUAAAGAAAAAAAACACGACCACACAAUUAGCACGAGCUCGCCUCCUCCCUCUCUCGCCCACGAAGCCCUCGCCGCCGCCACCACCCACGCCGGCCGCUUCCGGCGAGCUCCGCCGCCGCGCAGCACGCCAUCGAGUUCCCCAUGGUCCACGCAACCCUCCCCUCUCUCCAUAUUCUCCGCUCCCGGCCUCUGCCGCCCGCUCGCAACCCCACCCCCCGCGGCUAGGGUUUCGGGCAGGGCUUCGCCGGCGCGUCUCCGGCGGCCCCAGCUUGUGAAAUCAUCAUGUGUUCUAUCUUGUGCGCCUCUUGUGGUCUUACCAAUGGAGUUGGCUUUAGCUCUUGAAAAGAUGGUGAAUGAGAAGCUGCCCAACCCGCCCACUAUAAGUUUCUCCUUCAUGCCUAUUUACAAUAAAAUUACUUUAAAGUUUAAAGCCGUGAAGAAGAUAACCAAAUGGAAGAGUGAUGGGCCAACAUAUGGAAGUGCAGAUCGAAAAACCCGGGUUUGCAGGAUGCAACAAUUGGUGUUGCGAGCAAUAGCCAAAACCAUCACUCACAAGAAAUAUGAGAUCCUCAAGCAAGGCUGCUUGGAUGCUGAGAAAUUAAAAGAGUUUAAACUUGUGCAGAAGAGACAAAUCAGUCUUAAUGUGGCCAAGUUCAAAUUUGCUCUCCCGACACCUACUUCUGUGUUGGGCCUUCCAAUUGGCCAACAUAUAAGCUGCAGGUUUGAGCCACUGAGGAGCGUGUCCGCGUCACGAGUGUCGCCAUUCAUGGGAAGCACCAAGAUCUAA